GUGUCCCUGCGCUGUUCGUGAUGCCGGAGGGAAGUUUCAACCUCGUUUACACUACGGGUGUCGAACGCGAGAGUGGUGUGCAAGCCCCUCUUCGAAGGGGAAGCCUGAAGCUCUCCAACAGAGACGCCCACCUGGUCAUACCAGGUUCGAAACACCACGGCACACGGCAGAGGUGGGGACUUU
This 183-nucleotide non-coding RNA is filed under the name Candidatus Rokuibacteriota bacterium. RNAcentral describes it as "Candidatus Rokubacteria bacterium 6S RNA". It matches the Rfam family "6S / SsrS RNA". Rfam says of the family: E. coli 6S RNA was the first non coding RNA to be sequenced, but its function was unknown until recently. It consists of 184 nucleotides that fold into an extended hairpin structure with a large single-stranded internal bulge. The record is from RNAcentral. Lineage: Bacteria; Candidatus Rokuibacteriota.